Molecule: ribosomal RNA, 496 nt
Filed under: uncultured bacterium
Lineage: Bacteria
Description: partial 16S ribosomal RNA
Rfam family: Bacterial small subunit ribosomal RNA
Source: RNAcentral
AUGCACGCUGGCGGCGUGCCUCAUACAUGCAAGUCGAGCGAACAGAUGAGGAGCUUGCUCCUCUGACGUUAGCGGCGGACGGGUGAGUAACACGUGGAUAACCUACCUAUAAGACUGGGAUAACUUCGGGAAACCGGAGCUAAUACCGGAUAAUAUGUUGAACCGCAUGGUUCAAUAGUGAAAGACGGUUUUGCUGUCACUUAUAGAUGGAUCCGCGCCGCAUUAGCUAGUUGGUAAGGUAACGGCUUACCAAGGCAACGAUGCGUAGCCGACCUGAGAGGGUGAUCGGCCACACUGGAACUGAGACACGGUCCAGACUCCUACGGGAGGCAGCAGUAGGGAAUCUUCCGCAAUGGGCGAAAGCCUGACGGAGCAACGCCGCGUGAGUGAUGAAGGUCUUCGGAUCGUAAAACUCUGUUAUUAGGGAAGAACAAAUGUGUAAGUAACUAUGCACGUCUUGACGGUACCUAAUCAGAAAGCCACGGCUAACUACGUG